UGAGCAAUCUGCCCUUCUCAUCGGAAUAAGCGUUGGAAACGACGUUUAAUGCCGAAUACGACCUCCUUUCGCAUGAUCGGAGGUGGAAAGCUCCGGCGGAGAAGGAUGAGCUCGCGGCCUAUCAGCUAGUUGGUGUGGGUAAUGGCCCACCAAGGCGACGACGGGUAGCCGGCCUGAGAGGGUGACCGGCCACACUGGGACUGAGACACGGCCCAGACCUCCUACGGGAGGNAGCG
RNAcentral lists this ribosomal RNA (236 nucleotides) under uncultured bacterium. RNAcentral describes it as "partial 16S ribosomal RNA". It matches the Rfam family "Bacterial small subunit ribosomal RNA", at positions 118 to 353 of the family's 1533-position model. The record is from RNAcentral.